GUGAAGCGGCAAAAGCUCAAUUUGAAAUCGCUUCGGCGAAUUGUAAUUAAAGUUGUCAGGCUUUGGCGGAAGUUUUUUGGAACAAAACGUCAUAGAGGGUGAUAACCCCGUAGCCUUUGCCUAUUGUACAACUUUAGAGCGAGUCGAGUUGUUUGGGAAUGCAGCUCUAAUAGGUGGUAAACUCCAUCUAAGGCUAAAUAUUGCUGGGAGACCGAUAGCGAACAAGUACAGUGAUGGAAAGAUGAAAAGCACUUUGAAAAGAGAGUGAAAUAGCGUGUGAAAUUGUUGGAGGGGAAGGUGAUGGUAGGAAUAAGAGGGGGUAGU
This 324-nucleotide small RNA is filed under the name Magnusiomyces sp. K143b. Its description in RNAcentral is "eukaryotic LSU rRNA". It matches the Rfam family "Eukaryotic large subunit ribosomal RNA", at positions 93 to 446 of the family's 3401-position model. The record is from RNAcentral. Lineage: Eukaryota; Fungi; Ascomycota; Dipodascomycetes; Dipodascales; Dipodascaceae.